AAAAAAAAAUGCUAAGAAGUUAUAUUUGAAAUCUGAAAACAUGAUAAACCAUAACAUUAAAAUCAAACUAGAUAUGAUUCAACUAUUUUCAUUACAAUACUGAACUAGCUACAACAAAAUCAUUUUAUUACCUUGAGAUAGUUGAAAAAUUAAUUUCUUUCUCUCCCUUUUCUCUAAUUGGCAUCAAUUUUUGGAGAAUGCGUAAGGAAAUUAGGACACAUUUAA
Molecule: unclassified non-coding RNA, 225 nt
Filed under: Hevea brasiliensis (rubber tree)
Lineage: Eukaryota; Viridiplantae; Streptophyta; Magnoliopsida; Malpighiales; Euphorbiaceae
Source: RNAcentral